RNAcentral lists this transfer RNA (79 nucleotides) under Andreesenia angusta. RNAcentral describes it as "Eubacterium angustum tRNA". It matches the Rfam family "tRNA". Rfam says of the family: Transfer RNA (tRNA) molecules are approximately 80 nucleotides in length. The record is from Rfam by way of RNAcentral. Lineage: Bacteria; Bacillati; Bacillota; Tissierellia; Tissierellales; Gottschalkiaceae.
GCCCAAGUGGCGGAAUGGCAGACGCGCUCGACUCAAAAUCGAGUGGGAAACCGUGCGAGUUCGACUCUCGCCUUGGGCA